RNAcentral lists this long non-coding RNA (209 nucleotides) under Lathyrus oleraceus (garden pea). Its description in RNAcentral is "Pisum sativum (pea) long non-coding RNA (PSAT_LNC018122)". The record is from RNAcentral. Lineage: Eukaryota; Viridiplantae; Streptophyta; Magnoliopsida; Fabales; Fabaceae.
UAAAAUGUGAAGUAAAAACAACUAAUAAAAACGAUAUGAAAACCACUUAUAAACACCAAGGGAUUGGGCAUAUUGGUUUUGUUAAUUUGUUGUGGGAUUAUAGUGACGAUAUCAUUCAUGUAAUACAUCAAACAUCAACAAUAGAGAAAUAUGGGCUUUUAUACACAAUCAGACUGCUUCCGCAUUAUUGUCAAAAUACUUUAUUUUCU